UACGGAGGGUGCGAACGUUAAUCGGAAUCACUGGGCGUAAAGCGCGCGUAGGCGGUUUGUUAAGUGGGAUGUGAAAUCCCCGGGCUUAACCUGGGAAUUGCAUUUCAAACUGGCCGACUAGAGUACGGUAGAGGGAGGUAGAAUUUCCUGUGUAGCGGUGAAAUGCGUAGAUAUAGGAAGGAAUACCAGUGGCGAAGGCGGCCUCCUGGAUCGAUACUGACGCUGAGGUGCGAAAGCGUGGGGAGCAAACAGG
RNAcentral lists this ribosomal RNA (253 nucleotides) under uncultured bacterium. RNAcentral describes it as "partial 16S ribosomal RNA". It matches the Rfam family "Bacterial small subunit ribosomal RNA", at positions 524 to 776 of the family's 1533-position model. The record is from RNAcentral.